AAUAAUGUGUUGCUGUGUUUAUAUAUUACUCCAAACAUGCCCCACUUUCCCAAAAAAUGUGAAUUUUCCAUGAAAUUUGAGACUUUAUUUAUGAUUUUCGCCUUGGCGGCAUCCUUUACCAGUCUUAAUAUUUUAACCACUACUUCGUACAUUAAAAACCAACAAAAAGUGCAAAAAUCAUCGCUGGUGAGCAAUGCCGCCAUGUUCAAAAACGAAAAAAACGUCCGUCUCAGAGACACUUUUUUAUCCGAAAUUACACAAGCCUCGAUUUCGGUAAAAUGACGUUGAAGUUGACGUCACUUAAUUAGAUAUUUGUUUUCAUUAAUUUGUUUUUCAAGCAACAGCCAUUAGAGCUAGUGUUAAAAUCAAUAAUAUCGGACGAAGAUUUUUAAGUGUUAACGUUUCAACAUUUAGUGAAAUAUCACAAACCUAAUGAGUGAAUUAGCGAAUUGUUUCCCUUUGAAAUCAACACGCCAUUAUCGGUGGAUACAUGUCUGAAACUGGGUCAGAGAAUACAUGCAGUUAUUGCUCUGAAUAUACGCGGAUAUUUAAAGUGCAUGGCGGAUUUAAUAAUUGUUAUGGAUAACCUCCAGCAGUAAGAAAUAUAAAGGCUCACUGCAGUUUUGAGUGCUCAACAAGUAUUGACCCCAUACUAUGCUCAGCAAGUAGGGCCCUUGUAUUUCUGUGAAUCCUCAUGCAGUACAGUACUGCUGUUGGAAGAGGAGCAAACAGUGUGGUAUCUAUGGUUCACCAUCACUUCAAGCAUCAUGGCUAUGGAGAAAAGAAUGUUUCAUUACAUAUGGACAAUUAUAGUGGACAAAAUUAUAAGAAAAGUGUUGUAAUAAGCUAUGGAAUGUGGCUUGUUAUGAUGGGUCUACAUGAUGACUUGGAGUACAACCUGAUGGAGGCCCGGCAUACAGAAUUCAGUCCUGAACAUGUUUAGAAUGUCUUCUGCAUGACCUGGUAUAGAUAGUAUUCUUGAAGGAUUAUAACUUCAACACAGAGACGGAGAUUAAUAUUUUUAGGCAGGGGGUUGGCAUGACAGGCAAAUUCGCCAACCGUAUUACCAUUCCUGAGCUGGAUGCCAGUCGACAGUGGUACCUGUAUAAUGAAAUAGUGCCCCUUUGCAGCAACAGCAAUGUAUGCUCAAAACCAGCAGUGUCAAAGCCAUUAAAAUUGAUAAUUCAAGUCAUUUAAAACGAAGAAUGAAUGGAAACAAAGUGUUUAACAUUUAAAGUAAUACAGAGAAAGAGCUCUGAAAUUUUGAAUAAUUUGAAAGUGUUUUUGAUUUUUUGAAGAUGUACUAGACCCAAAUUCCAUAUAUUUGAAAAAGAACAAAUGAUACAUAUAGUUUAUGUAAACAUUAAAUUAACAACUUUAUGGUGUCAACAGUACUAUGCAUUUGUUAAAUAUUGACUCACUAUAUACAUG
Long non-coding RNA from Mercenaria mercenaria, 1431 nucleotides. RefSeq lists it as uncharacterized. Lineage: Eukaryota; Metazoa; Mollusca; Bivalvia; Venerida; Veneridae. The record is from RefSeq and is a predicted model, not a curated record. The transcript is spliced from 5 exons.